This is a non-coding RNA of Trichonephila inaurata madagascariensis, 73 nucleotides long. The record is from the annotation of a GenBank genome assembly. NCBI's taxonomy places the organism in Eukaryota, Metazoa, Arthropoda, Arachnida, Araneae, Nephilidae.
GUUCCUGUAGCGCAAUGGAUAGUGUGUUGGACUUCUAAUCCAAAGGUUGUGGAUUCGAAUUCUUCCUGGGAUG